UACAGAGGGUGCAAGCGUUAAUCGGAAUUACUGGGCGUAAAGCGUGCGUAGGCGGUCAUGUAAGUCGGGUGUGAAAGCCCCGGGCUCAACCUGGGAAUUGCAUUCGAGACUGCAUGGCUAGGGUGCGGAAGAGGGAAGCGGAAUUUCCGGUGUAGCGGUGAAAUGCGUAGAUAUCGGAAGGAACACCAGUGGCGAAAGCGGCUUCCUGGUCCAGCACUGACGUUCAGGCACGAAAGCGUGGGGAGCAAACAGG
Molecule: ribosomal RNA, 253 nt
Filed under: uncultured bacterium
Lineage: Bacteria
Description: partial 16S ribosomal RNA
Rfam family: Bacterial small subunit ribosomal RNA
Source: RNAcentral